GUGCCAGCAGCCGCGGUAAUACGGAGGUGGCGAGCGUUGUUCGGAAUUACUGGGCGUAAAGGGCGCGUAGGCGGGGCGAGAAGUCGGGUGUGAAAGCCCUCGGCUCAACCGAGGAAUGGCGCUCGAGACUCUCGUUCUUGAGUCCCGGAGAGGACGGUGGAAUUCCCGGUGUAGCGGUGAAAUGUGUAGAGAUCGGGAGGAACACCGGUGGCGAAGGCGGCCGUCUGGACGGUGACUGACGCUGAGGCGCGAAAGCGUGGGGAGCAAACGGGAUUAGAAACCCCUGUAGUCC
This 292-nucleotide ribosomal RNA is filed under the name uncultured bacterium. RNAcentral describes it as "partial 16S ribosomal RNA". It matches the Rfam family "Bacterial small subunit ribosomal RNA", at positions 505 to 796 of the family's 1533-position model. The record is from RNAcentral.